This 344-nucleotide unclassified non-coding RNA is filed under the name soil metagenome. RNAcentral describes it as "partial contains 5.8S ribosomal RNA, internal transcribed spacer 2, and large subunit ribosomal RNA". The stretch from base 2 to 119 matches the Rfam family "5.8S ribosomal RNA", at positions 37 to 154 of the family's 154-position model. The record is from RNAcentral.
GUGAAGAACGUAGCGAAAUGCGAUAAGUAAUGUGAAUUGCAGAAUUCAGUGAAUCAUCGAAUCUUUGAACGCACAUUGCGCCCGCCAGCAUUCUGGCGGGCAUGCCUGUUCGAGCGUCAUUUCAACCCUCGACUUCCCUUUGGGGAAAUCGGCGUUGGGGACUGGCAGCAUACCGCCGGCCCCGAAAUGGAGUGGCGGCCCGUCCGCGGCGACCUCUGCGUAGUAAUCCAACCUCGCACCGGAACCCCGACGUGGCCACGCCGUAAAACACCCCACUUUCUGAACGUUGACCUCGGAUCAGGUAGGAAUACCCGCUGAACUUAAGCAUAUCAAUAAGCGGAGGA